RNAcentral lists this ribosomal RNA (501 nucleotides) under uncultured bacterium. RNAcentral's name for it is "partial 16S ribosomal RNA". It matches the Rfam family "Bacterial small subunit ribosomal RNA", at positions 30 to 523 of the family's 1533-position model. The record is from RNAcentral.
AUUGAACGCUGGCGGCAGGCUUAACACAUGCAAGUCGAGCGGGGGAAGGUAGCUUGCUACCGGACCUAGCGGCGGACGGGUGAGUAAUGCUUAGGAAUCUGCCUAUUAGUGGGGGACAACAUCUCGAAAGGGAUGCUGAUACCGCAUACGUCCUACGGGAGAGAGCAGGGGAUCUUCGGACCUUGCGCUAAUAGAUGAGCCUAAGUCGGAUUAGCUAGUUGGUGGGGUAAAGGCCUACCAAGGCGACGAUCUGUAGCGGGUCUGAGAGGAUGAUCCGCCCCACUGGGACUGGGACACGGCCCAGACUCCUACGGGAGGCAGCAGUGGGGAAUAUUGGACAAGGGGGGGAACCCUGAUCCAGCCAUGCCGCGUGUGUGAAGAAGGCCUUAUGGUUGUAAAGCACUUUAAGCGAGGAGGAGGCUACUCUAGUUAAUACCUAGGGAUAGUGGACGUUACUCGCAGAAUAAGCACCGGCUAACUCUGUGCCAGCCGCCGCGGUAA